GACGUAGGGCGCGAGCGUUGUCCGGAUUUAUUGGGCGUAAAGAGCUCGUAGGCGGCUUGUCGCGUCGGCUGUGAAAUCCCGUGGCUUAACUGCGGGUCUGCAGCCGAUACGGGCAGGCUAGAGUUCGGUAGGGGAGACUGGAAUUCCUGGUGUAGCGGUGAAAUGCGCAGAUAUCAGGAGGAACACCGGUGGCGAAGGCGGCCCACUGGUCCGGUACUGACGCUGAGGUGCGAAAGCGUGGGGAGCAAACAGG
Molecule: ribosomal RNA, 253 nt
Filed under: uncultured bacterium
Lineage: Bacteria
Description: partial 16S ribosomal RNA
Rfam family: Bacterial small subunit ribosomal RNA
Source: RNAcentral